AUGAAAAAAAGUUGGGAGAACUUUAGAGACAAAAGAGUGGUUCGAAAACGUACUUUGUACAGAUCUGAAGCUGGAAGGGAUGUUAUUGUCAUCCAUGUGAAUGUCUUCGUCAUCGUCCUGAAAUGGAGGGUCCAAAACUGAUACUGGGCUGCUCUGUUCUUUUUCUUCUUCCUCUUCCUCCAUUUCUAGUUUCUUUAGCUUCUCUACUUCAUAACUCUCUUUUUCCAUCUGUUUUACACAUAAUGAAGUACUUUAGGAUCGAAUAAUUCAACUUCAGCUUAGCUGCUAAUUUGACUGAUUGAGUUAGAAUACACAGACAAAGACAAAUAUUUUGGACUCUAUUGCUAAAUAAUUUUUGGUAGACAAAAACCAAAAACACAAAAACAAGAGAGUAAGAUUUGCAUGUCAGAAACAGAGAUCAACUUUGUUUUCAACAGCACAAAAGGCUGAGUUCAUUUUCGAAAAGACGAAAAUUACAUUUGUCUUCAACUGUUUUUGCAUCUUCGAAAACAACCAAACCUUAAGUUUGAGGGGUAUUCGUGUCAUUUACUAAUCAUUCUUACUUUGUCACUAAUUCAAACGAGUCAAACUAAGUCAUUAAUUAAACUUCUAUACACAAUUUUUGGAAACAUCUAUAGUUUUGUAUUUUCAAAUUUAAGUAUCAUAUUAAUGAUUAUUAUGUACAUCAAUUAUUUUCGGGGUAUUUUUUUUUCAAUUUCUAACUAACGAGUAUGAUCAAUAAUGUAAUCAUUAUUAAAUAAUUAAUUUGUAGAAAGAGACAAACCUCAUGACAAUCGUGGCGUGGAGAAGCCGCAGGCGAUGAGAAAUUCGGCGUUCUGAAACCGCCGUUUGAUGGCAUUGUUUGGAGAACAAAAUGAAACGGGCUUUCACAAAAACGUUUAUCUUCCGAUAAAUCUUGACCGUUCAUCAUCAUCGCAAACUCAUCUGAACCGUUAGAUCGGCUGCUGGUGCUAAUCGACGUUUCGAAAUCAACGUCCCAAGAUCUCUCUCCGUUCGUAACACUCUCUGACCAAACACCACUACUACUUGACCUCCGUGAGAAAUGCGUUUCAGACGCGAUUUUAUGCGUUUGGGAAGAAGCGUUUUCUUCUUCGUUACGUUUGGAUUUUCUUGUGACUAUUUUACGUACAACCGGAGAUUCCCAUCUCAACAUAUCUUUAACAGAAGAGGAAGAAACGCGACCAGCUUCUUUGCCGCCGCUGAUUUCGCGUUUCUUCCGCUUCUAGUAGAAUGGAAGCAGUUCUCGCCGGUAUAUUGACGAAAAUCGCGUUUUGGCUCCGAUUUGGUGACUUGAGUUCGAAGAGUGGAGACUUUUUCGGGUCAGGAGAUUCACGGAGAGAGAAGAAACAAGCGUUGCGGCAGAAACGCGAGGGAAGUCCAGCGUUUUGAGAGAUGGGUCUGCGUUUCUUGACCUGUAAAUGCGUUACGUGAGCAUUGAUUUGGCAACGUCGGUCUGAGAUGUAACUUUGAAGCUGAAACGGUUCUUGAUCUUCUUCAAGAAGAUCUUUUAAAUGUCUCUGAGACGCCAUUGUAUCAACAAGAAACAGAAUAGAGAGAAGAAAAAGAAGAGAGAAAGAUGUUGAUGGUGAUUCAAAAAAUGUGGAUGGUUUAAAAGAUCGAGGCAAUGGUUAAGUAAAUACUUGUAG
Molecule: long non-coding RNA, 1667 nt
Filed under: Arabidopsis thaliana (thale cress)
Lineage: Eukaryota; Viridiplantae; Streptophyta; Magnoliopsida; Brassicales; Brassicaceae
Description: ncRNA (AT5G03668)
Source: RNAcentral